AUGGCUUCCAGUUUGCAGCCAUGGGUUCUCCUCCUCAUCUUCCCCCUCCUCUGUUUGGUGCUUAGCCCCGCAGCACUUGCGGCAGUGUUCAACGAUAACUUCGUGGCAGUAGGGGGUACAGAUAGUAAUCACCUAGUUGAUCAGGGGACAGCAGUUCGUCUCGUCUUGGAUAAGAGCUCCGGGGCUGGAUUUAGUUCCAAGGAGGCGUAUGGUUCAGGGUUCUUCCAUAUGAGGAUCAAGACACCGCCCGGGUACAGUGCCGGAGUCCUCACAAUGGAACCCGAGCAAGGUGACCACAAUGAGGUGGAUUUGGAGUUCCUGGGCAACGUGGACGGCAAGCCGGUCAUUCUCCAGACCAACAUCUUCCUAAACGGCAAAGGUGACAGUGAGCAGAGGUACGAGCUGUGGUUCGACGCUGGAGCCGAUUUCCAUGACUACAAGAUACUCUGGAACCCCUACCAGCUCGUGGUGUUCGUCGACGACACGCCGAUACGGGUGCUCAAGAACCUCGCGCCCAGCCAGUUCCCGGUGAGGCCGUUCAAGAUCCGGGCGAGCAUCUGGGACGGCUCCGAUUGGGCGACGGGCAAUGUCAAAUACAGGGUCGACUAUAACCGUGCGCCGUUCACCACUGUGUUUCAGGACUUCGACGUCAAUGGCUGCCCCGCCACCGGUGGCGCGUCGUGUGGCUCGCCGAGCCUGUCGUGGAACGCAAUCCAGAGCCUGACGCCCGCGCAGUGGGAGGCGUACAAGGACGCCAAGAGCAAGCACAUGACCUACGACUACUGUACCAAUAAGGACAGGGCGUACGCCCAGCUGCCGGGAGAGUGCAACAACAACUAA
RNAcentral lists this ribosomal RNA (840 nucleotides) under Triticum aestivum (bread wheat). RNAcentral describes it as "partial small subunit ribosomal RNA". The record is from RNAcentral. Lineage: Eukaryota; Viridiplantae; Streptophyta; Magnoliopsida; Poales; Poaceae.